GGGGGCCCGCAAGCGGUGGAGCAUGUGGUUUAAUUCGAUGCAACGCGAAGAACCUUACCUACUCUUGACAUCCAGAGAAUAUAGCAGUAGAUGCCAUAGUGCCUUCGGGAACUCUGAGACAGGUGCUGCAUGGCUGUCGUCAGCUCGUGUUGUGAAAUGUUGGGUUAAGUCCCGCAACGAGCGCAACCCUUAUCCUUUUGUUGCCAGCGAUUAAGUCGGGAACUCAAAGGAGACUGCCAGUGAUAAACUGGAGGAAGGUGGGGAUGACGUCAAGUCAUCAUGGCCCCUUACGAGUAGGGCUACACACGUGCUACAAUGGCGCAUACAAAGAGAAGCAAACUUGCGAAAGCUAGCAGACCUCAUAAAGUGCGUCGUAGUCCGGAUUGGAGUAUGCAACUCGACUCCCAUGAAGUCGGAAUCGCUAGUAAUCGUGGAUCAGAGCGCCACGGUGAAUACGUUCCCGGGGCCUUGUACACACC
RNAcentral lists this ribosomal RNA (479 nucleotides) under uncultured bacterium. RNAcentral describes it as "bacterial SSU rRNA". It matches the Rfam family "Bacterial small subunit ribosomal RNA", at positions 915 to 1391 of the family's 1533-position model. The record is from RNAcentral.